AUGCUCGCUUUGGCAGCACAUAUACUAAAAUUGGAACGAUACAGAGAAGAUUAGCAUGGCCCCUGCACAAGGAUGACACGCAAAUUCAUGAAGCGUUCCAUAUUGUU
This 107-nucleotide small nuclear RNA is filed under the name Myotis davidii. Lineage: Eukaryota; Metazoa; Chordata; Mammalia; Chiroptera; Vespertilionidae. The record is from RNAcentral.